RNAcentral lists this ribosomal RNA (236 nucleotides) under uncultured bacterium. RNAcentral describes it as "partial 16S ribosomal RNA". It matches the Rfam family "Bacterial small subunit ribosomal RNA", at positions 928 to 1171 of the family's 1533-position model. The record is from RNAcentral.
AGCAGUGGAGUAUGUGGUUUAAUUCGAAGCAACGCGAAGAACCUUACCAGGUCUUGACAUCCGAUGCAUAGUGCAGAGAUGCAUGAAGUCCUUCGGGACAUCGAGACAGGUGGUGCAUGGUUGUCGUCAGCUCGUGUCGUGAGAUGUUGGGUUAAGUCCCGCAACGAGCGCAACCCUUAUUGCCAGUUACUACGUAAGAGGACUCUGGCGAGACUGCCGUUGACAAAACGGAGGAA